CCCCAUCAGUGUCUUAGCUAACGCGUUAAGUAUCCCGCCUGGGGAGUACGGUCGCAAGAUUAAAACUCAAAGGAAUAGACGGGGACCCACACAAGCGGUGGAGCAUCUGGUUUAAUUCGACGAUAAGCGAGGAACCUUACCAAGACUUGACAUCCCGAGAAGAUUCCCGAAAGGGAAUUGUGCCGUUAGGAACUCGGUGACAGGUGCUGCAUGGUUGUCGUCAGCUCGUGCCUUGAGGUGUUCGGUUAAGUCCGUAAACGAGCGCAACCCUUGUCAUAAGUUGCAUUUUUCUUAUGAGACUGCCGGUUUUAAAUCGGAGGAAGGUAAGGAUGACGUCAAAUCAGCAUGGCCCUUAUGUCUUGGGCUACACAGGUGCUACAAUGGCCAGUACAAAAGGCAGCCAAGGGGCAACCCGGAGCUAAUCCCUAAAACUGGUCCAAGUUCGGAUUGAGGGCUGCAACUCGCCCUCAUGAAGCUGGAAUCGCUAGUAAACGUGUAUCAGCAAUGGCACGUUGAAUCCGUUCCUGGGUCUUGUACUCACCGCCCGUCAAGUCACGAAAGAUGGGGGUGCCCGAAGUUCCCUUAGCUAAUUGAGCGGGGACCUAAGGCAAAACCAUUGAUUGGGACUAAGUCGUAACAAGGUAUCCGUAGGAGAACCUGCGGAUGGAUCACCUCCUUUCUAGGAG
This 686-nucleotide ribosomal RNA is filed under the name Candidatus Peregrinibacteria bacterium. Its description in RNAcentral is "bacterial SSU rRNA". It matches the Rfam family "Bacterial small subunit ribosomal RNA", at positions 835 to 1533 of the family's 1533-position model. The record is from RNAcentral. Lineage: Bacteria; Candidatus Peregrinibacteriota.